This 486-nucleotide ribosomal RNA is filed under the name uncultured bacterium. Its description in RNAcentral is "partial 16S ribosomal RNA". It matches the Rfam family "Bacterial small subunit ribosomal RNA", at positions 30 to 507 of the family's 1533-position model. The record is from RNAcentral.
AUUGAACGCUGGCGGCAUGCCUUACACAUGCAAGUCGAACGGCAGCACGGGUGCUUGCCCCUGGUGGCGAGUGGCGAACGGGUGAGUAAUACAUCGGAACAUGUCCUGUAGUGGGGGAUAGCCCGGCGAAAGCCGGAUUAAUACCGCAUACGAUCCACGGAUGAAAGCGGGGGACCUUCGGGCCUCGCGCUAUAGGGUUGGCCGAUGGCUGAUUAGCUAGUUGGUGGGGUAAAGGCCUACCAAGGCGACGAUCAGUAGCUGGUCUGAGAGGACGACCAGCCACACUGGGACUGAGACACGGCCCAGACUCCUACGGGAGGCAGCAGUGGGGAAUUCUGGACAAUGGGCGAAAGCCUGAUCCAGCAAUGCCGCGUGUGUGAAGAAGGCCUUCGGGUUGUAAAGCACUUUUGUCCGGAAAGAAAUCCUUGACUCUAAUACAGUCGGGGGAUGACGGUGCCGGAAGAAUAAGCACCGGCUAACUACGUG